Molecule: ribosomal RNA, 233 nt
Filed under: uncultured bacterium
Lineage: Bacteria
Description: partial 16S ribosomal RNA
Rfam family: Bacterial small subunit ribosomal RNA
Source: RNAcentral
UACGUAGGGCGCAAGCGUUGUCCGGAAUUAUUGGGCGUAAAGAGCUCGGUAGGCGGCCAGUUGCGUUCUGCUGUGAAAUCCCGGGGCUCAACCCCGGGCGUGCAGUGGAUACGGGCUGGCUAGAGGCAGGCAGGGGAGAACGGAAUUCCGGUGUAGCGGUGAAAUGCGCAGAUAUCGGGAGGAACACCGGUGGCGAAGGCGGUUCUCUGGGCCUGUACUGACGCUGAGGAGCG